UACGUAGGAGGCAAGCGUUGUCCGGAAUUACUGGGUGUAAAGCGCGUGUAGGCGGCUUUGCAAGUCGGGUGUGAAAGCCCUCAGCUCAACUGAGGAAGUGCGCCCGAAACUGCUCGGCUCGAGUAUGGAAGAGGGUCGCGGAAUUCCCGGUGUAGAGGUGAAAUUCGUAGAUAUCGGGAGGAACACCAGUGGCGAAGGCGGCGACCUGGGCCAAUACUGACGCUGAGGUGCGAAAAGCGUGGGGAGCAAACAGG
Molecule: ribosomal RNA, 254 nt
Filed under: uncultured bacterium
Lineage: Bacteria
Description: partial 16S ribosomal RNA
Rfam family: Bacterial small subunit ribosomal RNA
Source: RNAcentral